ACCCGCACAAGCGGUGGAGCAUGUGGUUUAAUUCGAUGCAACGCGAAGAACCUUACCUGGUCUUGACAUACACGGAACUUUCCAGAGAUGGAUUGGUGCCUUCGGGAACCGUGAUACAGGUGCUGCAUGGCUGUCGUCAGCUCGUGUCGUGAGAUGUUGGGUUAAGUCCCGUAACGAGCGCAACCCUUAUCCUUAUUUGCCAGCACAUCAUGGUGGGAACUAUAAGGAGACUGCCGGUGAUAAACCGGAGGAAGGCGGGGACGACGUCAAGUCAUCAUGGCCCUUACGACCAGGGCUACACACGUGCUACAAUGGGAAGGACAAAGGGUUGCUAAGCCGCGAGGUAGUGCUAAUCUCAUAAACCUUUUCGUAGUCCGGAUCGGAGUCUGCAACUCGACUCCGUGAAGUCGGAAUCGCUAGUAAUCGUGGAUCAGAAUGCCACGGUGAAUACGUUCCCGGGUCUUGUACACACCGCCCGUCAUACCAUGGGAGUGGGUUGCACCAGAAGUGGCUAGUCUAACUUAGUGAGGACGGUCACCACGGUGUGAUCCAUGACUGGGGUAAAGUCGUAACAAGGUA
RNAcentral lists this ribosomal RNA (579 nucleotides) under uncultured marine bacterium. RNAcentral's name for it is "bacterial SSU rRNA". It matches the Rfam family "Bacterial small subunit ribosomal RNA", at positions 919 to 1498 of the family's 1533-position model. The record is from RNAcentral.